GUGUUCAUCCAUAUGCAUAAAAACUAAUGCAUAAUCAAAGCAAAUGCUAAGUAGUAACUUGGGUAUUUAAACAAGAGUCAAACUGCAGCACAAGGAGUCGGGUCUGAGUCACUUUGGACUGGCCUUGGCUCCUUACCUCUGCAGACGUAAUAAAUGUGAGUUUGCCUAACUCUCGUGUUGACGUUUUCUUCAUGCCAUCUCUGGUUAUCCAUAAAGGCCCUGUUUUAAGGCCUAACAAAAGGAUGAGUUCAAAACUAGAUGUGUGGGAUCUAAGGUACCUUUGAGCAUUGGAGGCGAAGCUGUAAGCAUGUGGUAUGUGGCCACAUCACGUAUGUACUGAACAACUUCCAGGAGUGCCAUUCGCAAUGGCUACAAGGCAAAUGCUGCUUCCUGGAGUUAUGCUAUGUGGGGACCCUGCAUAAAAGGUAUGUAAGUUGUAGAUAAAGUUUGAGAAAUCAUCAAUACAAUGAUUAAUGAAACAAGGGAGUGGAUAAAAUCACCUAGGAAAAUGAAGAUGAGGAAGAGUUCCUAACCUGAGAUCCAGACACCCAAAUUGCAUGUAAUAUUUUUAGUGUAAAUGCCCAUGUGCAUUUUUCUAGGAAGAGGAUCAUCAGCUUUCAGUGUGUUCAAAGGGGAUUAAAACAUCAAUUAAAGGAACACUACUGUGAGUGAGAAGAGGGAUAAAGCCAGAACUGCUAACAUUUAGAAGGGAAUAAAAGAAAAAGAGCCAGCAAAAAAGACUGAAUAGUCAGAACAGGAGAACUAGGAGAGAAGCAUCACAAGUUCAAAAAGGGAGUAGUCAGAGCAAGAUGCCAAAGACUGGAAUAGUCCCUUGAAUCUGGAAAUCAAAGUUGCUGUGACAUCUGUCUGAGCAAUUUCAGUGCAAGUGGAACAGGUCUCAAUUCACAGGGAACUGAAGAACAAAUGAGAGAUUCAGAAACAAAGGAGAAAAAUGAAUCCUGCUCAAAUAGAAGGCAGAUGCACACCACGCCACUAAAUUUCCAAAAUGGGCUAACCCAAGAUAUCAAAACCCACAAGUUUUGAGUGCAUCUUUUGCCAGAGAAAUCAAAUUUCGUCUCGGUAAUUAUCUGGCUGAUAAGAGUUCAGGUUUU
This 1112-nucleotide long non-coding RNA is filed under the name Dasypus novemcinctus (nine-banded armadillo). Its description in RNAcentral is "lncRNA (ENSDNOG00000052324.1)". The record is from RNAcentral. Lineage: Eukaryota; Metazoa; Chordata; Mammalia; Cingulata; Dasypodidae.